AUUGAACGCUGGCGGCAGGCCUAACACAUGCAAGUCGAACGGCAGCACGGGAGCAAUCCUGGUGGCGAGUGGCGAACGGGUGAGUAAUGCCUAGGAAUCUGCCUAGUGGUGGGGAUAACGUUCGGAAACGGACGCUAAUACCGCAUACGUCCUACGGGAGAAAGCGGGGGAUCUUCGGACCUCGCGCCAUUAGAUGAGCCUAGGUCGGAUUAGCUAGUUGGUGAGGUAAUGGCUCACCAAGGCGACGAUCCGUAACUGGUCUGAGAGGAUGAUCAGUCACACUGGAACUGAGACACGGUCCAGACUCCUACGGGAGGCAGCAGUGGGAAUAUUGGACAAUGGGCGAAAGCCUGAUCCAGCCAUGCCGCGUGUGUGAAGAAGGUCUUCGGGAUUGUAAAGCACUUUAAGUUGGGAGGAAGGGUAGUAACCUAAUACGUUGCUACUUGACGUUACCGACAGAAUAAGCACGGCUAACUUCGUAGCCAGCAGCCGCGGU
RNAcentral lists this ribosomal RNA (496 nucleotides) under uncultured bacterium. RNAcentral's name for it is "bacterial SSU rRNA". It matches the Rfam family "Bacterial small subunit ribosomal RNA", at positions 30 to 521 of the family's 1533-position model. The record is from RNAcentral.